Molecule: small RNA, 59 nt
Filed under: unclassified sequences
Description: DUF2815 RNA
Rfam family: DUF2815 RNA
Source: Rfam by way of RNAcentral
CGGUAGAGAUUGGCACCGAUAAAGUCCAAUCAAUUUUAAGUUAAAAAGGAAGCAAGAUG